Molecule: long non-coding RNA, 912 nt
Organism: Rosa chinensis
Lineage: Eukaryota; Viridiplantae; Streptophyta; Magnoliopsida; Rosales; Rosaceae
Exons: 5
Source: RefSeq, a predicted model, not a curated record
GCCCACAACCCAAAUUUCUUGCCAAAUCCGAACUCUCCUCCAAUCAAACCUGAAAACCCAGAAAAACCUCAGCCCACCAUCCCUAUCUCGCUUCGACAAAUACAAAAGAACCUCAUCCCCCAUCUCUGUGAAACACAUAACCCAUCUCAAUUACUUUUUCAAACCAUAGAUCCAAACCAGCCAAACCAUCUCAAUCCCUCUCAUGCUUCGUGUUGGUGUUGCAAUUGAGAAUAUUUCAUCGGUCUCAAUCCCUAUUGUUGGGUAUGAUAUUUAUCUCUAAAAUCAGAGAAGGAGCUGAACCAACUUUCUGGGGGUUUGGAUUCGAAUUGCAGGAGUUUAUGGGUUUUCGUGGAUUUGAGAAGGAGAUGAUGGGAGAGUUGGGAAACGAAAGGCUACUCUCCAGUUGAUAAGUGUAGCAAAGGAAAGGCCAAGCAGAUGAAGAAAGCCAAGAAACACCCAAACAAGCAAAAGUUCUAUAUCUUUUGUCUUUUUCAAAUUCUGGUGCCACUCUAAGAAAGACCCCACAGUUUUGUGGGUUGAUGACAAUACAUCAACAACUGCAAAGCUUGAUACUGGCAUGUUAAUUGCUGUGAAGACGAAUAACUGAGAAGGUUUACAGGGUCACAAGGAAUGGGAUCUAAAGGAGGUUCAGUGAAAUUAACUAUUCAUAGUGGACCUGAAAUCAAGCACUUGGAUUUAAUGGAAGUUUAGUUCUUCAUUUAUCCCUGCAAAAUAUUGUUAUUUAAUUGUCUAGACUUAUGCUUUGUUCUAAUAAGUUAACUUGGAGGAACAAAUGAUGCAGUGAAGUCUUUGACCAAGAAAAUGGUCUUCACUUUUUAGACAUGGAACUUGGGAGUACUGGGACCAGUUGUUCUACAAGGAUCAGAUCAAGGAAACAGAGAUCUAUCAGGG